CCUACGGGAGGCUGCAGUGGGGAAUAUUGGACAAUGGGGGGAACCCUGAUCCAGCCAUGCCGCGUGUGUGAAGAAGGCCCUCGGGUUGUAAAGCACUUUCAGUGAGGAAGAACGCCUGUUGGUUAAUACCCAUCAGGAAAGACAUCACUCACAGAAGAAGCACCGGCUAACUCCGUGCCAGCAGCCGCGGUAAUACGGAGGGUGCGAGCGUUAAUCGGAAUUACUGGGCGUAAAGCGCGCGUAGGUGGCUUGAUAAGCCGGUUGUGAAAGCCCCGGGCUCAACCUGGGAACGGCAUCCGGAACUGUCAAGCUAGAGUGCAGGAGAGGAAGGUAGCAUUCACGGUUUAGCGGUGAAAUGCGUAGAGAUCGGGAGGAAUACCAGUGGCGAAGGCGGCCUUCUGGACUGACACUGACACUGAGGUGCGAAAGCGUGGGUAGCAAACAGGAUUAGAUACCCUAGUAGUC
This 465-nucleotide ribosomal RNA is filed under the name Vreelandella stevensii. RNAcentral describes it as "partial 16S ribosomal RNA". It matches the Rfam family "Bacterial small subunit ribosomal RNA", at positions 338 to 795 of the family's 1533-position model. The record is from RNAcentral. Lineage: Bacteria; Pseudomonadati; Pseudomonadota; Gammaproteobacteria; Oceanospirillales; Halomonadaceae.